RNAcentral lists this ribosomal RNA (851 nucleotides) under Mycolicibacterium porcinum. RNAcentral describes it as "bacterial SSU rRNA". It matches the Rfam family "Bacterial small subunit ribosomal RNA", at positions 29 to 895 of the family's 1533-position model. The record is from RNAcentral. Lineage: Bacteria; Bacillati; Actinomycetota; Actinomycetes; Mycobacteriales; Mycobacteriaceae.
GCGAACGCUGGCGGCGUGCUUAACACAUGCAAGUCGAACGGAAAGGCCCUUCGGGGUACUCGAGUGGCGAACGGGUGAGUAACACGUGGGUGAUCUGCCCUGCACUUUGGGAUAAGCCUGGGAAACUGGGUCUAAUACCGAAUAUGACCGCGCUCUUCAUGGGGUGUGGUGGAAAGCUUUUGCGGUGUGGGAUGGGCCCGCGGCCUAUCAGCUUGUUGGUGGGGUAAUGGCCUACCAAGGCGACGACGGGUAGCCGGCCUGAGAGGGUGACCGGCCACACUGGGACUGAGAUACGGCCCAGACUCCUACGGGAGGCAGCAGUGGGGAAUAUUGCACAAUGGGCGCAAGCCUGAUGCAGCGACGCCGCGUGAGGGAUGACGGCCUUCGGGUUGUAAACCUCUUUCAAUAGGGACGAAGCGCAAGUGACGGUACCUAUAGAAGAAGGACCGGCCAACUACGUGCCAGCAGCCGCGGUAAUACGUAGGGUCCGAGCGUUGUCCGGAAUUACUGGGCGUAAAGAGCUCGUAGGUGGUUUGUCGCGUUGUUCGUGAAAACUCACAGCUUAACUGUGGGCGUGCGGGCGAUACGGGCAGACUAGAGUACUGCAGGGGAGACUGGAAUUCCUGGUGUAGCGGUGGAAUGCGCAGAUAUCAGGAGGAACACCGGUGGCGAAGGCGGGUCUCUGGGCAGUAACUGACGCUGAGGAGCGAAAGCGUGGGGAGCGAACAGGAUUAGAUACCCUGGUAGUCCACGCCGUAAACGGUGGGUACUAGGUGUGGGUUUCCUUCCUUGGGAUCCGUGCCGUAGCUAACGCAUUAAGUACCCCGCCUGGGGAGUACGGCCGCAAGGCA